CCGCCUCCUCACCUUCUCAGGCGAGUUAAUAUGGCUAUCGUGCGUUCCAUCUCGUCGUGUUUCGACCGAGUGCUACUUCCCUCGGACAUUGUCGCGUAUGUACGUAUUGCUAGAAUAACUAGAAGAUUCCACGCUGAUCACCGUCGCUGGUCGGCAACGAUAUUCGCGAGAUACUCGUCGCGGUUGACGCUCGAUCUCUUUGUCGACGCUCGGUCGCUAGCGAUGCAGUUACGCGGGUUCCCAGAAAUUGGCGCGCGUGUGUACGCAUUCCACCAGCGCUUCGCGACGCAGGAUUGCGUGUUUACGCAUAACACGACCGAUGUUUUGCUCCACGCCUUGUCGGAUUCGGUGACCUUCGUGCGACGAAACGCGAAACGGGCCCGGAGAUCGUCGCAAUUUGUGACCGUCGGAAGGACGAACUGAAAGUUACGUGUGAAGGUUAAGUCGCACGGUGUGGUCAGCACUUGACGAGUGCGCGCCAAUAUUUCGGUCAAGUGUAUACAUGGCUGACGGCUCGUGGGCACGUUCACCCGGGGUCUCGCAGAACGACCACGAAAGGGCCAAUUGAUCACACGAUCGGACGCGAUAACGGUUUCGAGACAACGCGGUGCGACGACAGCUUGCUGGGCUUCAGAAACGUCGUUCGGAUGCACCCAGAUAUCACUUUAUCCUUGUUUAAUGCUUUUGGCAUGCAACAAGGAUGAAAUGAUGUCUCUAAUGUUUCCGAACGCAGCCCUGGCGGUGGCGUCGCGUGUCGUCGUCGUCGUCGUCGUCGUCGUCGGUCCGCGAGAAGAGGAGAGAUCGUUCGCUCGCGCUUGCAUUCCUCUGUAUUACCGGUAACAAUGUGACCUGUGGCACACAUCACGGAUCACAUCUUGCUCUUUUUUAAUCAGAAUGAGGUUUCUAAUUCUGCAUUUCUUCGUUCCCUGAGGUGCUGUGGCUACCCCAUCUACCUACUUGAAGAUGCAAAUGUUUAGAGGACUGGAGCAGUCGUCCAUCGUACCGAAAAUACAGCGAAAACACGGUAAUGGUGCAUCUGUCAAUGUGAGUACUUAUAUUUAUUUUCUAUUUGUUCUUGAUUUAAUACAUGCAUUUUAACGCUUUACCAUUAUGACAAAAAAGGUUGAAAGUUUGGAAAACAAAGAAGAAAUAACAAUUAACUUUGUCUCAAUUGCAUUUUAUUAUUACACUGCAUUACA
Molecule: long non-coding RNA, 1199 nt
Organism: Solenopsis invicta (red fire ant)
Lineage: Eukaryota; Metazoa; Arthropoda; Insecta; Hymenoptera; Formicidae
Exons: 3
Source: RefSeq, a predicted model, not a curated record